RNAcentral lists this ribosomal RNA (3092 nucleotides) under Staphylococcus pseudintermedius. RNAcentral describes it as "23S ribosomal RNA". It matches the Rfam family "Bacterial large subunit ribosomal RNA". The record is from RNAcentral. Lineage: Bacteria; Bacillati; Bacillota; Bacilli; Caryophanales; Staphylococcaceae.
UUAAGUUAAGGGCGCACGGUGGAUGCCUUGGCACUAGAAGCCGACGAAGGACGUUACUAACGACGAUAUGCUUUGGGGAGCUGUAAGUAAGCUUUGAUCCAGAGAUUUCGAAUGGGGAAACCCAGCACGAGUUAUGUCGUGUUAUCUGCAUGUGAAUACAUAGCAUGCAAGAAGGCAGACCCGAGAACUGAAACAUCUUAGUACCCGGAGGAAGAGAAAGAAAAUCGAUUCCUGAGUAGCGGCGAGCGAAACGGAAGAGCCCAAACCAAUAAGCUUGCUUAUUGGGGUUGUGGACACUCUGUACGGAGUUACAAAAGAAUUUGUUAGACGAAUAACCUGAAAGGUUAAUCAUAGAAGGUAAUAAUCCUGUAGUCGAAAACGAAUUCUCUUGAGUGGAUCCUGAGUACGACGGAGCACGUGAAAUUCCGUCGGAAUCUGGGAGGACCAUCUCCUAAGGCUAAAUACUCUAGUGACCGAUAGUGAACCAGUACCGUGAGGGAAAGGUGAAAAGUACCGGAAGGGGAGGAAAGAGAACUUGAAACCGUGUGCUUACAAGUAGUCAGAGCCCGUUAAUGGGUGAUGGCGUGCCUUUUGUAGAAUGAACCGGCGAGUUACGAUCUGAUGCAAGGUUAAGCAGAAAAUGUGGAGCCGUAGCGAAAGCGAGUCUGAAUAGGGCGAAUGAGUAUUUGGUCGUAGACCCGAAACCAGGUGAUCUACCCUUGGUCAGGUUGAAGUUCAGGUAACACUGAAUGGAGGACCGAACCGACUUACGUUGAAAAGUGAGCGGAUGAACUGAGGGUAGCGGAGAAAUUCCAAUCGAACUUGGAGAUAGCUGGUUCUCUCCGAAAUAGCUUUAGGGCUAGCCUCAAGUGAUGAUUAUUGGAGGUAGAGCACUGUUUGGACGAGGGGCCCCUCUCGGGUUACCGAAUUCAGACAAACUCCGAAUGCCAAAUAAUUUAACUUGGGAGUCAGAAUGUGGGUGAUAAGGUCCAUAUUCGAAAGGGAAACAGCCCAGACCACCAGCUAAGGUCCCAAAAUAUAUGUUAAGUGGAAAAGGAUGUGGCGUUGCCCAGACAACUAGGAUGUUGGCUUAGAAGCAGCCAUCAUUUAAAGAGUGCGUAAUAGCUCACUAGUCGAGUGACACUGCGCCGAAAAUGUACCGGGCUAAACAUAUUACCGAAGCUGUGGAUUGUCCUUGGACAAUGGUAGGAGAGCGUUCUAGGGCGUUGAAGCAUGAUCGCGACAUGUGGAGCGCUUAGAAGUGAGAAUGCCGGUGUGAGUAGCGAAAGACGGUGAGAAUCCCGUCCACCGAUUGACUAAGGUUUCCAGAGGAAGGCUCGUCCGCUCUGGGUUAGUCGGGUCCUAAGCUGAGGCCGACAGGCGUAGGCGAUGGAUAACAGGUUGAUAUUCCUGUACCACCAUUAUUCGUUUUUAAGCGAUGGGGAGAAGCAUGAUCGCAAGGACAUGUGGAGCGCUUAGAAGAGAAUGCUGUGUGAGUAGCGAAAGACGGGUGAGAAUCCCGUCCACCGAUUGACUAAGGUUUCCAGAGGAAGGCUCGUCCGCUCUGGGUUAGUCGGGUCCUGCUGAGGCCGACAGGCGUAGGCGAUGGAUAACAGGUUGAUAUUCCUGUACCACCAUUAUUCGUUUUAAGCGAUGGGGACGCAGGAUAGGCGAAGCGUGCUGUUGGAGUGCACGUCCAAGCAGUGAGAUUGAGUGUUAGCAAAUCCGGCACUCUUAAGAUUGAGCUGUGAUGGGGAGAGGAACUGUUUCGAGUCGUUGAUUUCACACUGCCGAGAAAAGCCUCUAGCUAGAAUAACGGUGCCCGUACCGCAAACCGACACAGGUAGUCAAGAUGAGAAUUUAAGGUGAGCGAGCGAACUCUCGUUAGGAACUCGGCAAAUGACCCCGUAACUCGGGAGAAGGUGCUCUUUGAGGUUCACGCUCGAAGAGCCGCAGUGAAUAGGCCCAAGCGACUGUUUAUCAAAACACAGGUCUCUGCUAAACCAGGUGACGUAUAGGGGCUGACGCCUGCCCGGUGCUGGAAGGUUAAGAGGAGUGGUUAGCGCAAGCGAAGCUACGAAUCGAAGCCCCAGUAAACGGCGGCCGUAACUAUAACGGUCCUAAGGUAGCGAAAUUCCUUGUCGGGUAAGUUCCGACCCGCACGAAAGGCGUAACGAUUUGGGCACUGUCUCAACGAGAGACUCGGUGAAAUCAUAGUACCGGUGAAGAUGCCGGUUACCCGCGACAGGACGGAAAGACCCCGUGGAGCUUUACUGUAGCCUGAUAUUGAAAUUCGGUACAGUUUGUACAGGAUAGGUAGGAGCCUUAGAAGCGUGAGCGCUAGCUUACGUGGAGGCAUUGGUGGGAUACUACCCUAAUUGUAUUGGAUUUCUAACCCGCAGCACUUAUCGUGCUGGGAGACAGUGUCAGGCGGGCAGUUUGACUGGGGCGGUCGCCUCCUAAAGAGUAACGGAGGCGCUCAAAGGUUCCCUCAGAAUGGUUGGAAAUCAUUCAUAGAGUGUAAAGGCAUAAGGGAGCUUGACUGCGAGACCUACAAGUCGAGCAGGGUCGAAAGACGGACUUAGUGAUCCGGUGGUUCCGCAUGGAAGGGCCAUCGCUCAACGGAUAAAAGCUACCCCGGGGAUAACAGGCUUAUCUCCCCCAAGAGUUCACAUCGACGGGGAGGUUUGGCACCUCGAUGUCGGCUCAUCGCAUCCUGGGGCUGUAGUCGGUCCCAAGGGUUGGGCUGUUCGCCCAUUAAAGCGGUACGCGAGCUGGGUUCAGAACGUCGUGAGACAGUUCGGUCCCUAUCCGUCGUGGGCGUAGGAAAUUUGAGAGGAGCUGUCCUUAGUACGAGAGGACCGGGAUGGACAUACCUCUGGUGUACCAGUUGUCGUGCCAACGGCAUAGCUGGGUAGCUAUGUAUGGACGGGAUAAGUGCUGAAAGCAUCUAAGCAUGAAGCCCCCCUCGAGAUGAGAUUUCCCAACUUCGGUUAUAAGAUCCCUCAAAGAUGAUGAGGUGAAUAGGUUCGAGGUGGAAGCGUAGCGAUACGUGGAGCUGACGAAUACUAAUCGAUCGAAGACUUAAUCAA